GUAUUGCUAAUGCAGUUCAUAUACUAAAAUUGGAACAAUAUAGAGAAGAUUAGCAAGGCCCCUGCACAAGGAUUCUUAUAGACUGUGGACAAGGACAGUUAUU
Molecule: small nuclear RNA, 103 nt
Organism: Haliotis rubra (blacklip abalone)
Lineage: Eukaryota; Metazoa; Mollusca; Gastropoda; Lepetellida; Haliotidae
Source: RefSeq, a predicted model, not a curated record